This 1426-nucleotide long non-coding RNA is filed under the name Daucus carota (carrot). RNAcentral describes it as "long non-coding RNA (DCAR_LNC001502)". The record is from RNAcentral. Lineage: Eukaryota; Viridiplantae; Streptophyta; Magnoliopsida; Apiales; Apiaceae.
GUCUAGUAAAUUAUAUAGUAUUAUUUCAUUAUAAUCCUAUGCAACUUUAGAAAUCCAGACAAAUAUUUCUUGAAACAUCUCUUACUAUGAAUAAUUGUUCUGAAUAUUCUGCAUUCCAUACCACAAAUUGUAACGAAAUCGAGUGAAGAACGAGUUGGAAAAGGGAUUCCUAAUUUAGAUGUCACCCACCAUUUAACAAGACAUAGUGCAUAUAUACAGAUAAAGACCAUGAUGGCAUAUCAUUAUAUUAAUUUAUUGAGAAAGCAUAUGAUAUGCAUAAAGUAGCAUGAGACUUCCCCCUCGUAAGAACAUUAAAGAAGCGUUAUCAAGGAACAAUAAUAGUGGCCAGCUAAUCAGACCUUAAUGACACAGUAUGGGACAUAUAGGGGCUAUAUGGCUAAGCUACAUACUGAAACAAAGAGGUAGAUAAUUGGAACAUUAAUGAAUUUUCCUAGACGAUUCAAACAAUAUACAGGCACCGACACGGCUGAGUACAUAUCCGAUACGCCAUGUGGCGUGUCGGAACGCAAAUGCAGCCGACAUGCAACCAAAACCUCUGCCCAACUUUAAAAAAGCCCCAGUAAGGUUUAUAGCCUAAUACCAGACGUCUUUUAUAUGUAUACAGAUUCUAUAUGUAUAUAAUUAUUUAGCUAUCUCUCUCUGUUUUUCAUCAUUUAAUCUGAUAUACAUAAGCAAAAGCCUAUAUAUAGAUACAUUCUAUAUAUCUAUUUGCUAAAGAUCACUUGAUUAUAUAAAUAUACGAGUGGGACAAUGAGUUCAAGUGUGAAGUUGUUUAAUAUUCAACAUAUAUAAAUUAUAUAUUUUAUAAAUACUAUUUAUUUUUUGCCGUGUCCCGUAUCCAGGACUCUUUGCUAAUUGGCGAAUCCCCGUAUCCCGUGUCCUGUGUCCCGUGUCGCCGUUGUAUCCCGUGUCUUGUGUCCCGUGUCGCCGUACCCGAGUCGGUGCUUCCUAGUAUACAGCCUACAGGAGAUCUUUAGUAUUACAAGUGAUAAAGCCCGUAAGGUCCUGAAAGAUGGCAACACUGAAAACAGUAACACCAGUUGUAGACAAAUUGAUGUUAAGACAGAAAAAGUGACACAUUCAACAGAGACCCAAAGUCAAAACAGUUGCUAUGGGAGAAGCUUAUGCUCUCUUCAGUCGAAGGAUUAUAUUUACUUUAAUCAUAGUACAUAUUUAAUAUUGUAUAUUCAUUUCUCUGUUGUUCAAUGCUACAAAUUUAAAAUUGAACAGCCAUUUUCUCCAUAAUCAUUAUCUUCACAUACACAUCAUAAAAGAAAAAACUCGUUUCUUUCAUUUUUCCCGUUCCCAGUUUUUUAUUUCAGUUCUACCUCAUUCAAUUUAUUCCAACCAAACAAACCAGUAACCAACUUUAAUGAUCCCACACAGGGGCAAACAAUUCAAAACG